CCGCUGCCGACCCACCGGGGUCGGCGCUCUGCGCCCGCGAGCAGGGGAAGCCGGUCCGAAGCCGGCGCUGACCCGCAACCGUAGGUCGGGACCCGUCCCGACGAGCCGGAACACCUGCCGUGGGACGAGAGGCUCC
Molecule: non-coding RNA, 136 nt
Filed under: Actinotalea ferrariae
Lineage: Bacteria; Bacillati; Actinomycetota; Actinomycetes; Micrococcales; Cellulomonadaceae
Source: RNAcentral